This is a long non-coding RNA of Anser brachyrhynchus (Pink-footed goose), 741 nucleotides long. The record is from Ensembl. NCBI's taxonomy places the organism in Eukaryota, Metazoa, Chordata, Aves, Anseriformes, Anatidae.
AAUAUGGGCUGUUUGGUUUUCUCGCAUGAAUGAAUUUGCUUUCAGCUGAGAAUUUACUUUUAACAAAUAAGCUGUUUUACAGGAUGCAAAGGUGGAAGGGGUGGAGUGUCUUAUGACUUACUACACUGUGGGUGCAGACACUGACAUGAUUUCUGGAUCCUCAUGUAUCUGCCUUGCUUGUUUGGACAAGGUUGUGCAAGGUGGGAGAUCUGAGAGAUGAAAAGGUGGAUACAAUCAUCUUUGGUUCUUCAUACAGCUACAGUAGUUUCUACAGGGUACUACUGGGAUCAUAAAAACGACAAUUAGAAAUGUUGAUCUGAACACCAGCCCUGUCCAGUUUGAGAGAAAAACACAGGUAGUACAGUGAGUGAUUCAUACUAUUCAUUAUUCUAAGGAUUUGGAGCAUGAAAUUAUUCAGAUUUAGAAUCCAAACUAAAGAAAUAUUUCAUAAUUAAAUGAUGCAAGUUGGGAGGGAAUAAUCUGAGAAAUCACUUACUCUGGCUAUCUCAUCAAAAAAUUGGGGUGUAUGUGGGGGGGGGGGUGUCAUUUGCCAGCACAUAAAUCUAAAUCUGGAACUCAGCUGAAGUAGUCCAGUAUGAAAAUCAACAUCUGUUUGCUCAUGCUUCUUGAAAUGUUUAGGCUGCAAAAGAUGAAUGCUAGCAAACCAAAAAGAAAGCUUUGAGGAAGACCUGUAAAAAGGACAAAACUAGCCAGACUGUUGCCUUCCAAAAUGCUUUCAUG